GUGCCCACUUUGGCAGCACAAAUAUUAAAAUUGGAACAAUAUACAGAAGAUUAGCAUGGCCUCUGUGCAAGGACGAUAUGCAAAUUCAUGAAACAUUGCAUAUUAGA
RNAcentral lists this small nuclear RNA (107 nucleotides) under Vulpes vulpes (red fox). The record is from RNAcentral. Lineage: Eukaryota; Metazoa; Chordata; Mammalia; Carnivora; Canidae.